Molecule: transfer RNA, 66 nt
Filed under: Lauridromia dehaani
Lineage: Eukaryota; Metazoa; Arthropoda; Malacostraca; Decapoda; Dromiidae
Description: tRNA-Met
Source: RNAcentral
UAAAAGGUAAGCUAAUUAAGCUAAUGGGCUCAUACCCCGUAAAUGAAAGCAAUCUUUCCCUUUUAA